CCUACGGGUGGCAGCAGUGGGGAAUUUUGGACAAUGGGCGCAAGCCUGAUCCAGCCAUGCCGCGUGUCUGAAGAAGGCCUUCGGGUUGUAAAGGACUUUUGUUAGGGAAGAAAAGGAGUAUGUUAAUACCAUACUCUGCUGACGGUACCUAAAGAAUAAGCACCGGCUAACUACGGGCCAGCAGCCGCGGUAAUACGUAGGGUGCGAGCGUUAAUCGGAAUUACGGGGCGUAAAGCGAGCGCAGGCGGUUUAUUAAGCAAGAUGUGAAAUCCCCGAGCUUAACUUGGGAACUGCGUUUUGAACUGGUAAGCUAGAGUAUGUCAGAGGGGGGUAGAAUUCCACGUGUAGCAGUGAAAUGCGUAGAGAUGUGGAGGAAUACCGAUGGCGAAGGCAGCCCCCUGGGAUAAUACUGACGUUCAUGCUCGAAAGCGUGGGUAGCAAACAGGAUUAGAUACCCCAGUAGUC
RNAcentral lists this ribosomal RNA (465 nucleotides) under uncultured Kingella sp. RNAcentral's name for it is "bacterial SSU rRNA". It matches the Rfam family "Bacterial small subunit ribosomal RNA", at positions 338 to 795 of the family's 1533-position model. The record is from RNAcentral. Lineage: Bacteria; Pseudomonadati; Pseudomonadota; Betaproteobacteria; Neisseriales; Neisseriaceae.